Molecule: ribosomal RNA, 732 nt
Filed under: uncultured bacterium
Lineage: Bacteria
Description: bacterial SSU rRNA
Rfam family: Bacterial small subunit ribosomal RNA
Source: RNAcentral
AUACGGAUUAGAUACCCUGGUAGUCCACGCCGUAACGGUGGGCACUAGGUGUGGGGGACAUUCCACGUUCUCCGUGCCGAAGCUAACGCAUUAAGUGCCCCGCCUGGGGAGUACGGCCGCAAGGCUAAAACUCAAAGGAAUUGACGGGGGCCCGCACAAGCGGCGGAGCAUGCGGAUUAAUUCGAUGCAACGCGAAGAACCUUACCUGGGUUUGACAUAUGCCGGAAAGCUGCAGAGAUGUAGCCCCCGCAAGGUCGGUAUACAGGUGGUGCAUGGCUGUCGUCAGCUCGUGUCGUGAGAUGUUGGGUUAAGUCCCGCAACGAGCGCAACCCUCGUUCUAUGUUGCCAGCACGUUAUGGUGGGGACUCAUAGGAGACUGCCGGGGUCAACUCGGAGGAAGGUGGGGAUGACGUCAAGUCAUCAUGCCCCUUAAGUCCAGGGCUUCACGCAUGCUACAAUGGCUGGUACAAAGGGCUGCGAUACCGCAAGGUGGAGCGAAUCCCAAAAAGCCAGUCUCAGUUCGGAUUGGGGUCUGCAACUCGACCCCAUGAAGUCGGAGUCGCUAGUAAUCGCAGAUCAGCAACGCUGCGGUGAAUACGUUCCCGGGCCUUGUACACACCGCCCGUCAAGUCAUGAAAGUCGGUAACACCCGAAGCCGGUGGCCCAACCCCUUGUGGGAGGGAGCCGUCUAAGGUGGGACUGGCGAUUAGGACUAAGUCGUAACAAGGUAGC